GCAACACUGAAGCAUGCACGAGAGCACUAGCUGUUUGGAUGACUGUGUGAUAAUGCUCUCGGUAGCCAAUGUGAGAAAGACCUUUAAACAGGUCAACAUUCACAAAGCUGCGGAGCCAGAUGGAUUACCAGGACAUGUACUUGUACCAGACCUUCAGUUUCUUGGCAAUUUCUCACAUGGAAUAGCCUUCAUUUCUCAGAACAAGAAUAGACUGAUGAGUUUCAGAAGAAAGUUAUUUGUUUCUGGCCAUUUUGUGCCUGUAAUCGAACCCAUAAAUGCUGAUGCUCAAGAUACUCAACUAAUCUAAAGGACAGUUUUAUUGCUUCUUUAAACAGAACAACAGUUUACAGCUGUGCCAACAUAAUUGCAGAAGGAAUUUCUAAGAAUCAGUUAGCCUUUUUAAAAUGAUAAACUUGGAUUAGCUAACACAACGUGCCUUUGGAACACAGGAGUGAUGGUUGCUGAUAAUGGGCCUCUGUACACCUAUGUAGAUAUUCCAUUAAAAAUCAGCUGUUUCCAGCUAUAAUAGUCAUUUACUACAUUAACAAUGUCUACACUGUAUUUCUGAUCAAUUUGAUGUUAUUUUAAUUGACCAAAAAUGUGUUUCUUUCAAAAACAAGGACAUUUUAUAAAUGACCCCAAACUUUUGAACGGUAUUGUAUGUGAGAAUGCUGUUCAUUGACUACAGCUCAGCAUUCAACACCAUAGUCCCCACGAAGCUCAUCACUAAGCUAAGAACCCUGGGACUAAAUACCUCCCUCUGCAACUGGAUCCUCGACUUGCUGACUGUCUGUCCCCAGGUGGUAAGGAUAGGCAACCACACGUCUGCCACGCUGAUCCUCAACACUGGGGCCCUUCAGGGGUGUGUACUUAGUCCCCUCCUGUACUUCCUGUCCACCCACGACUGCGUGGCCAAACACGACUGCAACACCAUCAUUAAGUUUGCUGACUACACAACAGUGAUCACUGACAACGAUGAGACGGCCUAUAGGGAGGAGGUCAGAGAACUGGCAGUGUAGUGCCAGGACAAGAACCUCUCCCUCAACGUGAGCAAGACAAAGGCGCUGAUCGUGGACUACAGGAAAAGGUGGCCGAACAAGUCCCCUUUAACAUUAACUGGGCUGUAGUGGAGCGGGUCGAUAGUUUCAAGUUCCUUGGUGUCCACAUCACCAAUGAUCUAUCAUGGUCCAAACACACCAAGACAGUCAUGAAGAGGGCACGACAAAACCUUUUUCCCCCUCAGGAGACUGAAAAGAUUUGGCAUGGGUCCCCAGAUCCUCAAAGUUCAACAGCUGCAUCAUCGAGAGCUCUGGUUGCAUCACCACCUGGUAUGGCAACUGCUCAGCAUCUGACCAUAAGGCGCUACUGAGGGUGGUGCGUAUGGCCCAGUACAUCACUGGAGCCAAGCUUCCCGCAAUCCAGGACCUAUAUAAUAGCCAUACGACUGCUGAACAAUUAAUCAAAUGGCCAUCAGACUAUUACAUUUACAAUCCCCCCUUUGUUUUGUAUACUGCUGCUAACUGUUUAUUACCUAUGCAUAGUCACUUCACCCCUACCUACAUGUACAAAUUACCUGUACCCACGCACACUGACUCGGUACCGGUACCCCCUGUAUAUAGCCUAUUUAUUGUUAUGUUAUUAUUAUUUUUUACUUUAGUUUAUUUGGUAAAUAUUUUCUUAACUCUUCUUGAACUGCACUGUUUAAGGACUUGUAAGUAAACAUUUCAUGGUAAGGUCUACACUUGUUGUAUUCGGUGCAUGUGACAAAGGUUGAUUUGAUUCAACAGCUGAUAUGACUACCUCACCACCACCUGAAAAUGGUAAGAUCCAAUAGACAGAAUUACAAAGGUCAAACUGCCAUGUUUGUGCAAUUAAACAGUUUGUGAUUUUCUGUUCCCAUAGGUUCAUUGUUCGUCGGAGUCAUUGUCAUUUUAGUUAUUGGUACAUUUCAUUGAAAAGUGGGGGGGGGGGGACAAGCCUUUUGCUCCCUUGUUUCUUGCCAAUGGAAUGCUCUCCCUUACCCUCUGAGUGCUGCUCCACCAAUCCAAGCUUUUAAAAUGGGCCUUUAAAACCCACUUCUACAGACUUUUUCUCAUAGGUCUAAUCCCAAUCUGAAAACUGUUUUUUUUUUUGUGCAUCUAGCCCAUUUGCAUUUUUCUUUGCUUAAGUAGAGCCUUGAGAAGGACUCUAAGGAAAAGCACUAUGCACAUUAAAUGCAUUAUUAUUAAUAUUAGAUGGCUCUGCUACUGCUUUUCCUGUCGCCGCUGGCAUGGCUGUAGUUAAUCCUUUACUUGUAUUGCUAAAGUACUUCUACAGAAUAUGUCUUAUAAACAUGAAUUUGUAUAUUUUGUGAAGCGGGUCUUGCAGGCAUAACUAAUAUCAAUGAUUGCUUGAGGGCUAAGCUUUGAUGCUGCUGUAUCUGCUGCUGCUCUUGCCAUGGUCUCCUGUAUUCUUCUUCUGUUUAUUUCCUGGGCUUGAUUGCCUGACACUGCAGGGAUUAUCCUGUUACGAGGUGAGAUAUUAGUUUCUUUAGAAUAUCUUCCACAUUAUAUUCACCUGAUACUUAAUCAGUUCCAUGUUGAAAUUAUUGCUUCAUCUAUAGUUCCAGGUGCAGUUUAGCACCAUUAGAGCUUGCAUUACUCCUCUCAAAUGCUAGGAUCACAGUAUUAAGUCUUUGAAAGUAAUGUUUUUGAUUAAUUGGCACUUUUCUCUGUCAGGCUUUAUUGGUGUCGUUGUUGCAGUCUAUUUGAUCAGACAAAAGCAGCAGGGUGCCAGUAGAAACCAAGACCAUAAUGAAGAGGUGGCUGUGAACAUGUUUGACAAUGGGGGAGCCAUCGGCAGUAAUGAGGGCCCGUGGAGCUGUCUCCGGCAGCAUGGUUAGCAAAGAGACUAUGGUACUAAUUGACCUGGCUCGUCUAUGAAGUGCCACAUUUUGAACAUGAACAUAAAAAACACAUCUUACAUUUUCAUUUCAACAGAGUGCGUGUUUGUGUAACUUGUGUUUUCAACAUAUUUCAGUGUGGAACAUAGAUGGCAUAAGACCCUGAUUUUAUUGAUCAGUGAAAAUGGAAUGCAAAUUAUUAAGGGAACUGCUUUGGGGCUUCACAUUUUUUGCUUUUUUUCCCAUCCUAUGGCUUACCUGUCCAUAUUUGUUCAAAUAAAUGAAAGAAUUAUGAACAAUUAGGUUGUCAUUCAAUCAACUCUAUGUUAAUUGCAGCAAUUAUAUAUGAGUUAUUCUACUUUUAAUUGUAGCCCUUGAGAUUUUGAGUGAACUCUGAUUUGGUUUUCACAUGCAUUUCUUUAUCCUUACUAGCAGAUUUUGAAAGUUUUAUGUUGAUACUUCACUUGAAUAGCUGUAGACACAUGACCUUAUACAUUUUUUAUCAUUAUGUAAUCUUUUGGGUAAGUUUGAGGAAAUCUCCUUGUAACCUGUCAAUAAUAAAACCUCAUAACACACUGUGUUUAACAUUCAUAAAACCCUACCAGCUGUUCUUCGUUGACUGUGCUUUAGGAGGAGAAACUUUAAUGCACUAUUCACAUUGGCGUUUGAAGUGGAAUGACACCCUGGUGCAGCGUUCAAGAGCGUGUCCCAA
Long non-coding RNA from Oncorhynchus tshawytscha (Chinook salmon), 3593 nucleotides. The record is from Ensembl. NCBI's taxonomy places the organism in Eukaryota, Metazoa, Chordata, Actinopteri, Salmoniformes, Salmonidae.